RNAcentral lists this long non-coding RNA (1746 nucleotides) under Anas platyrhynchos platyrhynchos (common mallard). RNAcentral's name for it is "lncRNA (ENSAPLG00000022649.1)". The record is from RNAcentral. Lineage: Eukaryota; Metazoa; Chordata; Aves; Anseriformes; Anatidae.
AUGCUCUCCCCCUGCCCCUCUCGCACCCGGAGGCCCCCAGGACGCGGCGCCCCGCUUCUCAGCAUCCUCCAAACUUUCGCAGGAGCGGACCCGACACCGCACACCGCCCACCCCAGCCAGCAGGGCUUCCUCCUUCCCUGCUCUCCCACCCCCACGGAGAGGCUCCCACGCACCCGAUUCCCCCUCGGAGCACAGCUCGGGGACCGCUGCGCAUCCCCGGAGGAUUUUUCCACCCAACCUCCCCAUCCCAUCCCCAGUCCCCCCAUCCCACAGGGAUGCGUGGCAGGGACAGAGGGCAAACCCCGAGCACUCCCGUGGCGCUGCCCCGAGUGGGGCAGCGAUGCUGGGCUCUCACCUGCCUCCUUUUCUACCUCCUCCUCCUCCUCCUGCCGGCAGGACGGAGCGGGGGCCGCCGCCGGCCUCCUUUAUAUAGCGGCGGGGGGCGCAGCCUCCGAGCCGAGCCGAGCCGAGCCGCAGCGCCCCCCCGCGGCCCGAGGCUCCCCCCGCGCCGCCCCCGCGCCCCGAGCACUGGGGGGGGGCCGUGGGAAACGCGCCCCGCUUCGGGCCCCGGGAUGCUCGAAGCAGAAAGGAGGAGCUGGUCCCCAAAAAGGGGAGCCCGCAAGGGAAAACCAGCCUCUGUAUGCUGUCACCUCGGGUCUGGAAUCCAGGCACAGGCAGAUGCACGCAGAGCUACUCAGGAAGAGGAUGCCAGCCAGAUGCCACAUGGCCUUCUCCUGCCCAGAAGCCCCUACGACAGCUCUUGGAGACACCAGGAGAAGAGCCAGGACUUCAGGACAUGCAUUCAGAGGCGUGAAAUUACAUGUAACUGGAAGACUGGGGAGACCUGGGCAGGAAUAUCCGUGGUCUGCAUCCCAAAUCAAACCUAGCCCUUUGGCAGCUGGGAUCCAGAUCAGUGAGCAUCCCCGAAAAAUAUCCUUGCCCGGUGCCCACCUGAUCAGGCUGAUGUUAUGGUCUCAUGUGGCAGGGCAGUCGUAUCACAGGGUGUAUCCUUAUUUCCCAGGAAUGCGAUAGCUUCCUUAUUUCUGCCUGUGCUCAAACACGCUGUGCUUGCAUCUGUCUGCAGUUUAAAGUGCCAAGUACAUCCCUGUGGCACCAUCAGUCUGUCUUCUAUCCUUAAAGGACCUUCGUUUAGAGUUUGUUCUUCCCUGCUGAAAAAAAAAGUAGCUGUAUUUCCCACCCUCAUCCCCACCAUCACUACCGUGUGGACUAAAUACUUGAAUACAUGGACUCUUGAACUAUAAAGACAAUGGAGAUGAAGCAUCUCAGUGGGUGAAGUGGCUGAGAGCAUCCCUCUGGCCGGCACGAAGGAGGACCCUGAUGAGACAGGCUCUGGCAGCUUUAGCUGUGGUGGGUUAGGGAUGGAGAAAUCUUGCUGUUGAUGUUUCCCUCUCAUUUACUCCAUCCCAGCCACCCAGACACCUUGUACCCCCAAGCACUUCAGCCACUGACUUUCAGAAAGCAGCAACAAUGCUUGUCAUAUCAGAAGGCAUCGCCAGGAGACUCCUGAAGUCAGGGGCUUACAUGGGAGGCAGCCUUUCACUGCCCUCAGUUUACACUAGAGCCUGAAAGGACCCACUGGCUAUAUUAAAACGGUGUCAUAAUUGUGGAAGCCCAAAUUCAUGCAAGAUAUUAAUCAGACUGCCAAGAUCUGUUAUAUGAAAAAAAACAAAUCCGUGCUGGCAUUGAGUUUCUCUCCUCAAAAGAACAUUUUAGCAAACAAUUAUC